GACUCUAAUGCUGGGAGGGAUUGAGGGCAGGAGGAGAAGGGGAAGACAGAGGAUGAGAUGGCUGAAUGGCAUCACUGACUCGAUGGAUGUGAGUCUGAGUGAACUCCGGGAGUUGGUGAUGGACAGGGAGGCCUGGCGUGCUGUGAUUCACGGGGUCACAAAGAGUUGGACACGACUGAACAACUGAACUGAACUGAACUGAACUUCAUCCUUUCGUAUUUAUUACUUGCUCCUGACCCUUUCCCCUAUCAUGCCCCUUUCUUCCUCCCAGCCCACAGUGCCAGAAGAAACGUGGGGACAUGUCAUCGUAGAUUUGACCGCCACACCGCUGGGUCUUGAUUCCACAUCGGGCGCCAUGAUGCUGUUACCUGUGCUGGCCAUACAGGGCAUGCUGGGGGCUCUGAUUUGUGUGAUCAUUUGCUCAGCGGCCCCCUCUGUGACACAGGCAGUGGAGACUACACCUACCCUUUCAGGAAUGACUCCCUGGAGUGAGUAGCAUUUAUGGCCUUGGGUCAGUGUGUAACAUAUAAGAUGAUGCAGUGAUGACC
This 548-nucleotide long non-coding RNA is filed under the name Bos indicus x Bos taurus (hybrid cattle). RNAcentral describes it as "lncRNA (ENSBIXG00005007477.1)". Lineage: Eukaryota; Metazoa; Chordata; Mammalia; Artiodactyla; Bovidae. The record is from RNAcentral.